UGGGGAAUAUUGGACAAUGGGGGGAACCCUGAUCCAGCAAUGCCGCGUGUGUGAAGAAGGCCUGCGGGUUGUAAAGCACUAUCAGUUGGGAGGAGGGUUGAUUGUUUAAGAGAUGAUUAACUGGACGUUACCGACAGAAGAAGCACCGGCUAACUCCGUGCCAGCAGCCGCGGUAAUACGGAGGGUGCGAGCGUUAAUCGGAAUUACUGGGCGUAAAGGGUGCGUAGGUUGUUGAAUAAGUUAUCUGUGAAAUUCCUGGGCUUAACCUGGGCAUGUCAGAUAAUACUGUUUGACUCGAGUAUGGGAGAGGGCAGUGGAAUUUCCGGUGUAGCGGUGAAAUGCGUAGAGAUCGGAAGGAACACCAGUGGCGAAGGCGACUGCCUGGCCUGUUACUGACACU
This 400-nucleotide ribosomal RNA is filed under the name uncultured bacterium. Its description in RNAcentral is "bacterial SSU rRNA". It matches the Rfam family "Bacterial small subunit ribosomal RNA", at positions 355 to 747 of the family's 1533-position model. The record is from RNAcentral.